Molecule: ribosomal RNA, 1378 nt
Filed under: uncultured bacterium
Lineage: Bacteria
Description: bacterial SSU rRNA
Rfam family: Bacterial small subunit ribosomal RNA
Source: RNAcentral
CCUGGCUCAGGAUGAACGCUAGCGACAGGCUUAACACAUGCAAGUCGAGGGGCAGCACAGGUAGCAAUACCGGGUGGCGACCGGCGCACGGGUGAGUAACGCGUAUGCAACUUACCUAUCAGAGGGGGAUAACCCGGCGAAAGUCGGACUAAUACCGCAUGAAGCAGGGGCCCCGCAUGGGGAUAUUUGCUAAAGAUUCAUCGCUGAUAGAUAGGCAUGCGUUCCAUUAGGCAGUUGGCGGGGUAACGGCCCACCAAACCGACGAUGGAUAGGGGUUCUGAGAGGAAGGUCCCCCACAUUGGUACUGAGACACGGACCAAACUCCUACGGGAGGCAGCAGUGAGGAAUAUUGGUCAAUGGGCGUAAGCCUGAACCAGCCAAGUCGCGUGAGGGAUGAAGGUUCUAUGGAUCGUAAACCUCUUUUAUAAGGGAAUAAAGUGCGGGACGUGUCCCGUUUUGUAUGUACCUUAUGAAUAAGGAUCGGCUAACUCCGUGCCAGCAGCCGCGGUAAUACGGAGGAUCCGAGCGUUAUCCGGAUUUAUUGGGUUUAAAGGGUGCGUAGGCGGCCUUUUAAGUCAGCGGUGAAAGUCUGUGGCUCAACCAUAGAAUUGCCGUUGAAACUGGGGGGCUUGAGUAUGUUUGAGGCAGGCGGAAUGCGUGGUGUAGCGGUGAAAUGCUUAGAUAUCACGCAGAACCCCGAUUGCGAAGGCAGCCUGCCAAGCCAUGACUGACGCUGAUGCACGAAAGCGUGGGGAUCAAACAGGAUUAGAUACCCUGGUAGUCCACGCAGUAAACGAUGAUCACUAGCUGUUUGCGAUACAGUGUAAGCGGCACAGCGAAAGCGUUAAGUGAUCCACCUGGGGAGUACGCCGGCAACGGUGAAACUCAAAGGAAUUGACGGGGGCCCGCACAAGCGGAGGAACAUGUGGUUUAAUUCGAUGAUACGCGAGGAACCUUACCCGGGUUUGAACGCAUUUCGACCGCUCUGGAAACAGAGCCUCUAGCAAUAGCGAUUUGCGAGGUGCUGCAUGGUUGUCGUCAGCUCGUGCCGUGAGGUGUCGGCUUAAGUGCCAUAACGAGCGCAACCCUUGCCACUAGUUACUAACAGGUAAAGCUGAGGACUCUGGUGGGACUGCCAGCGUAAGCUGCGAGGAAGGCGGGGAUGACGUCAAAUCAGCACGGCCCUUACAUCCGGGGCGACACACGUGUUACAAUGGCGUGGACAAAGGGAUGCCACCUGGCGACAGGGAGCGAAUCCCCAAACCACGUCUCAGUUCGGAUCGGAGUCUGCAACCCGACUCCGUGAAGCUGGAUUCGCUAGUAAUCGCGCAUCAGCCAUGGCGCGGUGAAUACGUUCCCGGGCCUUGUACACACCGCC